Molecule: long non-coding RNA, 209 nt
Filed under: Mytilus galloprovincialis (Mediterranean mussel)
Lineage: Eukaryota; Metazoa; Mollusca; Bivalvia; Mytilida; Mytilidae
Source: RNAcentral
GUUGGGUACUUUUCAGAUGACUAUAUCAGCGAGAAGAUAUGAUUAUGAAAACAGCACAUUAUUGCGUAACGUGUUAUUGUUUUAGUUGGUAAAUUCGUUAACUGAUUUUAAUAUUUACAAACGCAAUUCAAUGUGUUUGCUGAAAAUGGAGGACCCUUAACAUGUUGAACACAAAUCAACUAUCAUAUGUUUUAUAUGAAAAUAACAAU